This 429-nucleotide ribosomal RNA is filed under the name Gemmatimonadota bacterium. RNAcentral describes it as "Gemmatimonadetes bacterium partial 16S ribosomal RNA". It matches the Rfam family "Bacterial small subunit ribosomal RNA", at positions 355 to 776 of the family's 1533-position model. The record is from RNAcentral. Lineage: Bacteria; Pseudomonadati; Gemmatimonadota.
UAGGGAAUCUUCGGCAAUGGACGAAAGUCUGACCGAGCAACGCCGCGUGAGUGAAGAAGGUUUUCGGAUCGUAAAACUCUGUUGUUAGAGAAGAACAAGGACGUUAGUAACUGAACGUCCCCUGACGGUAUCUAACCAGAAAGCCACGGCUAACUACGUGCCAGCAGCCGCGGUAAUACGUAGGUGGCAAGCGUUGUCCGGAUUUAUUGGGCGUAAAGCGAGCGCAGGCGGUUUCUUAAGUCUGAUGUGAAAGCCCCCGGCUCAACUGGGGAGGGUCAUUGGAAACUGGGAGACUUGAGUGCAGAAGAGGAGAGUGGAAUUCCAUGUGUAGCGGUGAAAUGCGUAGAUAUAUGGAGGAACACCAGUGGCGAAGGCGGCUCUCUGGUCUGUAACUGACGCUGAGGCUCGAAAGCGUGGGGAGCAAACAGU